Molecule: ribosomal RNA, 465 nt
Filed under: Vreelandella stevensii
Lineage: Bacteria; Pseudomonadati; Pseudomonadota; Gammaproteobacteria; Oceanospirillales; Halomonadaceae
Description: partial 16S ribosomal RNA
Rfam family: Bacterial small subunit ribosomal RNA
Source: RNAcentral
CCUACGGGUGGCAGCAGUGGGGAAUAUUGGACAAUGGGCGAAAGCCUGAUCCAGCCAUGCCGCGUGUGCGAAGAAGGCCUUCGGGUUGUAAAGCACUUUCAGUGGGGAAGAAAGCCUUGGGGCUAAUACCCUCGAGGAAGGACAUCACCCACAGAAGAAGCACCGGCUAACUCCGUGCCAGCAGCCGCGGUAAUACGGAGGGUGCGAGCGUUAAUCGGAAUUACUGGGCGUAAAGCGCGCGUAGGCGGUCUGAUAAGCCGGUUGUGAAAGCCCCGGGCUCAACCUGGGAACGGCAUCCGGAACUGUCAGGCUAGAGUGCAGGAGAGGAAGGUAGAAUUCCCGGUGUAGCGGUGAAAUGCGUAGAGAUCGGGAGGAAUACCAGUGGCGAAGGCGGCCUUCUGGACUGACACUGACGCUGAGGUGCGAAAGCGUGGGUAGCAAACAGGAUUAGAUACCCGAGUAGUC